Small nucleolar RNA from Myotis lucifugus (little brown bat), 124 nucleotides. Its record names the gene SNORD22. It matches the Rfam family "Small nucleolar RNA SNORD22". From Rfam's summary of the family: U22 is a member of the C/D class of snoRNA which contain the C (UGAUGA) and D (CUGA) box motifs. U22 is encoded within the U22 snoRNA host gene (UHG) in mammals and has also been identified in Xenopus. The record is from Ensembl. Lineage: Eukaryota; Metazoa; Chordata; Mammalia; Chiroptera; Vespertilionidae.
UCCUACUGAGGAAACAUGCACAUGUCUUGCCUCCUGUCCUAGUCCCCGAGCCAGUAAAGGGGACCCCACAGGGGCUGGCUGGGGAAGAAGAGGAGUUUUUUCUAGAAGGAACUGUCGAAGGGAU